AAAACUAAUUAUAUCAUCAGGAAAAGGGAAACAAAAUGUGAAUAUCAAUUCUGAUAUUCUCACAUUUCUUUCUGAUGUUGAUAAAAUAAAGGACUUGAAUUAGUGCAAGUAUAUCGUUGAUUCACUUGUGAAGGCCAAGCUUUUCUGGGAAGAACGUCAAACUCGUUCUUUUCCUGGGUCUUUACUGUUUCUUAUGGUAUUACUUUAAUUUUUGUUUUUUUUAAUGUAAUAUUUCUUACUUAUUUGUUGCUUUUUAAUUUACUAAUUAUUUUUUCUUACUUGUUUGUAGUUAUGUAUUAAUUGUUAUUUGUUUUAUUUUAAUGUACUAAUUUUUUCUAUCUUACUUGUUUGUAGCUUUUAUAUGUUGAUCAGUUUGUCAUUGAGGAAGUUAGAGCCAAACGAGAAACUCCUGUUCUCAAAGGUUGGACAACCAAUAUGUUGUCAAGUCGUGAUAAAUUGGAAAUUUUUAAAGGGAGGCUUGGACUUUUUGAUAAAAAUCAGAAGCUUGUUGGUCCUUCUGGCAGCAUACAACCAAAAAUGGAACAAUCUGAUCCAAUUCAUACAAAAAAUGAAGAAAUUGAACAAGAUCCAAA
Long non-coding RNA from Chenopodium quinoa (quinoa), 593 nucleotides. RefSeq lists it as uncharacterized. Lineage: Eukaryota; Viridiplantae; Streptophyta; Magnoliopsida; Caryophyllales; Amaranthaceae. The record is from RefSeq and is a predicted model, not a curated record. The transcript is spliced from 3 exons.